GUGAAAUCACCACAUUAUCAAUAUCAAAAUUGAUUAUAUGCCUUUCAGUCCUAACGAAAUGAAAUGGGAUAAUUAAAAAACUAUUGACAUUAAUCUUUAUAAAGUUUUACUUUUAUUGACAAAUUGAGUGACCCGUGGAGUUGGAAACAACACAAAUAAUGAUAAUAACUUUCAUUGCACCGUGACGGCCUCCUCAUUGGUAAGGAUGGUGGGCGCAUUAACGCCUUCAUUAAACGCCUUAGCAAUCCUCUCGACAGGGAUCAAGGGCAGAUACGCCGCGGCCGAGUAUCCUCUAUCCGCCGUGUAACAAACCACUUCAUUAUAUUUCUGAGACCAAUAAGCACCAGUGGGGACUGCGAUCCGGGCAACUUGAGGAAAUAGAGGAAGCCGAUUCAACGAAUGCCAGGCCGACACCGUGUAGUGCUCCGCCACCGCUUAGUACUUGCAAUAUAGCUCCUUAGCCGCCGGCUCAUACUUUGUAAACAUCGUCUUCACAAUACUCUUUGCUGCGUCCACCGUGCCAGCGCGCUGAACUUCACAAGCCAUGGCUCUAGCUUGGCUUGAUUCCUGCUUCACCAGGGACGGCACGUGCUUUUCUAAUUCGCUUAGAUAAUCGUCAACCUGUAUAGCACGUGAGCCCCGAAAACCUGCGAAUGUGAUUAUCUACCACGAGAGAAACACUUUGGGACUGGGAGUGGGAAGAAUAUUAGAAUACAGACCUUGCGAUCGACGAAUUUGAGAAGUUCAAACGGAACGUCGAGGAACUUCUCGUAGACUGGUCCGAUGACAGUCUUGACGGUGUCCUCGAUGGCCUGUAACCCCGGUUUUAGCGGACCGGAGUUUUGCUUCGCGUAGUCAUAUAUGGUUGAGAAACAAAUUAUAACGUAAAUCGUCGCCACUUGAACGAAAUCUAAAUACUUG
RNAcentral lists this unclassified non-coding RNA (921 nucleotides) under Hevea brasiliensis (rubber tree). Lineage: Eukaryota; Viridiplantae; Streptophyta; Magnoliopsida; Malpighiales; Euphorbiaceae. The record is from RNAcentral.